CGCCAGCAAAGAAUUAUCCAAUCCAAAAUGUCAAGAGUGCUGAGGUUGAGAAACCCUGAACAAGAAAAAGUCCUUGGAAGGUGCCUUCAGCCACAGCCCAACCUCCGGUCCCUCAGCUGAAGAGGAAAGUAGCUGCUUGGUAAGCUUUUGCUGACUGAACGCACGUCCUGUUCUUGGUACCAGGCCGCUCUGGAGACCUGAAGGCUAUUCCUGGGCAGCUUCAACACGCUCUUCUCUGGAAGGAGCCAGGCCAGCCCUGCCUCCCCCGUCCCCUCCCUCUCUGGUCUCCAGGGACUCACCCACGGGGUCCACGAGGUCGAUGUGGUCCACAAAGUCCCGCUUUCCCAGAUAGACGAUGAGGACACUGAGGCCUGCAGGGAUCUUCAUGCCAAGCACCACUGAGGGUGGAGUGGCAGCAGCAAAGAAGUCUGCUGAGAGGGGGUGCUGGGUGCAUCUCUGCAAGGACGGGGGGACCCAGAGCAGGGCCAGCAGCGCCAAGAGGGUGCUCUGAACACUGAGCUCUGUGCCCUUCACUGCUCCCGGCCUCUGUGCAGCCUGCAGAGAUCCACUCGAAGGAGGACUUGUUUUCUGAGGCAACAGAGCGUGCAGGUCCUUCGCGGCAGUAAAGAUGCUGGAAGAGAGGAUGAGAGUUUGAGGACAGAGAGGAGCCGGGGUGCGGCUGCUACAGACUCACCUUUCCAUUGGGGCUCGCCUUCUUGAACACCCUGGGGAGAGAAAGAGCGGGAAGGCCAGCACUCACCACUUCUAACCCACUACAUAACUGACUCUCGGAUUACAUUUAUGCCUGUCUACUCUGCUAAUGUCAUCUCCACGAGGGCAGGGAUCUUUGUCU
This is a long non-coding RNA of Physeter macrocephalus (sperm whale), 853 nucleotides long. RefSeq lists it as uncharacterized. The transcript is spliced from 5 exons. The record is from RefSeq and is a predicted model, not a curated record. NCBI's taxonomy places the organism in Eukaryota, Metazoa, Chordata, Mammalia, Artiodactyla, Physeteridae.